UUUUACUAGGUAAAUUCCAUAUUCAUAAAGCUACAUUUUCCAAAUCAAGACCAUGUUUAAAAUUUUUCCAAAUUGAAACUGAUAUAUAUUUUGAGUCUCUUAAAUUUGUAAAAAAUAAGAAAGCUGUGUCAGUAAUUGAUAUAUACUCAAAACUUUUCAAUUGAAAAUAGAAAUUCCUUUUAUUUAUUUUUAUUAAAAAAUGAAGUCUGUAAGUCUGUUUUUUUAUGUGUAAUAUUUGUUUACGAACUGUGAUGCCUGUAUGUUUGUAAUUUGAAUUACUAUGAUGUUUGUAUGAUUGUUAAUUGAACUCUAAUAAAAAGCAUUUCUCUCGGAAAAGCUCGCCUGCGCACACGUCAACCAGAGGAGAGCGAGACCGCCCUCAUCAACGCGCUGACAUCCUGCUGACUUCAUUUCCAACCCUGCUCCAACACACCUGUCUGUAAUUAUCAAGUAGCCUUGAACACCGUAGUAGCUAGCUGUGUCCCACACUUAAGUGCAUGGACUCCGAAGUGCGCAUUUGAAGUGCGAAUGCGUCACAGUUGCGCGACGAAGGGUGUCCCAAACUGAAGCGUGUGGACUCCGAAAACCGCAUUUGAAGUACGAAUGCGUCACCUCGGCGCGACGAAGGCUGACGGAUUUCGAAAGCGACUUCAAAUGCGCCCUUCAUUUCCCAUGAAAAUGAAGUGUACAUCUUAUGGACACUUCACACCCUACCAUAUCCCAGAAUCACUUGCGUGCAUAUGAUGACGGUGGCAGGGGAGAGUUCUGUGGAGGACUUCACAUUGAAAUGCAUGGUUUAUUUGUGAAGUGUCCUGAGACAGGUGAGGGAGCGAGUGGACAGGGAGGACAUCAAACUCAAACAAAUACAUUCUUCAUUAGCCAAGAGAAAACAGAGUACAUUACAGUUUUUCCAAUAUAUUUUUUAAAUGUCAUAUUGUCAAUGAAACAACCUAAUUUCUGUAGUUUAUUUUUGUGAUGCAAGUUAAAAAUGAAAUGUAUAAAUUGUAUACAUUAAUCAUUUUUUGUGUGUGUAAUUUAUUCGUAAAUAAGCCUGAGUACUUUCUGUACAUUUUGUAUUUUUGUUUUGCAUAUUCACGUGUAAAUAAAAGAAAAGUGCUUAUGUACAUUAAUUUUUUUUUCAUGUAGUUUAUAAUUUUUUUCACAAAACGUUCUUUUAUAUGUUUAUUUGUUUGUCCUGUAAAUACUUUUUUACACAUUAAAACAAAUUGUUCUAUACAUAAUAGAAAGUAGUUUUUACAAUCAUUUACAACAUAGCUUAGGUUUAACAUCAGCAAAACAACAUCAGUUUGAGCCCGGCCCUGCCUCCGUGUGUUCUGGGGUCUUCAGGAGGUGAAUCUCUUGGUGAAUGGCCAGCACCUCCUCAGAGACUAGGAGGACAAUGCGGUGACAGUGGAACGAGGGACAUGUCAAACACUCUGGAGAUCAUCUGUAUGAUGUACCGCUGGCAGACAGAAGAGAAACACCAGGGUCUGGAUCAUGGCACACCAUCACUGUUGCCGUUCACUUCCCAGUAGAUCCAGCAGCACUGUCAGGGUCUCCCUGCUCAGAACAAAACCAUUCAACACCUGUCCAGCGCUGCCACAUUCAGCUUUAUGCUGCAGUACAGGGGUCUGCUCUGAUUUAGGGAAAGAAGGAAAAGAGAAAUUGUUUAGAGCUAUGACAACGUAAUUAGUACAAGACAUACUGACAUACUUUAGUAAACUACUUUUAGUAACUACCAAUACCAUAUUGGGGAAAAACUACUACUCAUAUUUAAAACUUUAGCUGAAGGGAUAGUUCACCCAAAAAUAUAAAUUACAAACCUGGAGCAACUGAAGGGUAAGUAAAUGAUUACACAAUUUUCAUUUUUGGCUGAAUUAUCCUUUAAGUAAAAGUAUUAUCUUGCAUACUCUAAUAUACUCAAAUUAUUGAGAGUAAAAGUAAAGGUAUGCGCAGUAUUGUCUUGAAAAAAAACAAUUUUUCAGGAUGGUUUUACAUUAAUAAUACUGCUGCACUUCUGUGUAUGUUGCAGUUUACUUCUAAAUAUGUUCAAGGUUAUUAAAAAGUUGCUGGACAUUAAGCUGUACUAUGCUCUAUUUUUUUUUAAAUACAGUUUUAUUUUUAUGGUUAACUGCCUAAAAAAUACGGGUUGCAAACCUGUCUACAUAUGGUCAAGACAAUAAACUACAUAAAAUUGCAGCUUUGUAUUUAAACUGCUAUGUGUGUAUUUUGUAGUUUUUCAUAUGUAUCAUUACAUUAUUCAAGUAAUCUCCAAGCCAGUACCUGCAUUUAAAGUUGUAAUCCGACAAAGGACGCAGCAAACCAGUGUAACUUACCUGGACUCGGUCUUGGCUAAAUCUGAGGUUCAUCACCGUCUCCUCCAUUAUGAGUAAAUCAUAAAAACAAAAACGAGCAAUUCUGUGCAAAAAAACUCUCGCGAUGGCGAGGCGGCUGUGGCCCUGUCCCAAAUGGCGCACUUCAUGUGGACUUUCGGUCUUGUGGACUUAAAUUGCGCAUGCUCGCCGAGUCUACGAGUCCGUAGGCCGUCCCAUUCAGCAUUUUAAUGCUCUGUUGUGUGCUCAGCAGCGCCUCCUUUGUACCCUUGAAGCGGUAAAUGCAGGCUUCGCACACAAUAGGUUUGUUUGAGAUGCUCCUUGCCUCGCCUGAAAUGUAGGCGAGAAUAGGCGGCUGCAGUAAGGGGAGGGGUCAAAAAAGACCUUUGAAGUCGGACACUUACAGAAUCUCGCUGUUUUGUCGCCUUCAAACGUCAGCAAUGGAGGAGAUCGCGUUCACGUUUUUUAUCGCAGACGAAGUGAAUGUAAUCGAAAUACCACUGUUUUGUCAUUAUGUGCAUCAAUUCCUUUGUUCUGCUGAACACAAAGGAUGAAAUUUAGAAGAAUGUUUGCAAACAAGCAGGUUUCUGCCACCAUUUCAUGUCCAUAGUAUUUUUCCAUAUGCAAGUCAAAGCUGUUUUGUAGCAAACAUUCUUCAGAAUUUCUUUCCUUGUUUUAAACCAGACCCUGACACUUCUCAGAUGAAACCACUCAAAGAUGAGGCAUAAUGGCUAAACAGUCCAUUUAAUGGAUUGAUUUAUUAAUUCACACAAACAUACAAUAGAAUAAAGUGAAAAUUACAAGAAGGAAGAAUUCUAAUUAAGAGAAAAAUAAAAUAAACA
Long non-coding RNA from Cyprinus carpio carpio, 3175 nucleotides. The record is from Ensembl. Lineage: Eukaryota; Metazoa; Chordata; Actinopteri; Cypriniformes; Cyprinidae.